CCUACGGGGGGCUGCAGUCGAGAAUCUUCCUCAAUGGCCGAAAGGCUGAAGGAGCGACAUCGCGUGCAGGAGGAAGCCCUUCGGGGUGUAAACUGCUUUUCUCUAGGAAGAAACAAUGACGGUACUAGAGGAAUAAGGGGUUGCUAAACUCGUGCCAGCAGCAGCGGUAAUACGAGUACCCCGAGCGUUAUCCGGAUUUAUUGGGCGUAAAGCGUGCGCAGACGGUUUAUAACAUCUCCUGUUAAAUCCCAAGGCUCAACCUUGGGGCCGCGGGAGAUAUGGAUAAACUAGAGGCUGGAAGAGGUAAGCGGAAUUGCUGGUGUAGGGGUUAAAUCCGUUAAUAUCAGCAGGAACACCAAAAGCGAAGGCAGCUUACUGGAACAGUUCUGACGUUCAGGCACGAAAGCGUGGGGAGCGAAUGGGCUUAGAUACCCCGGUAGUC
This 442-nucleotide ribosomal RNA is filed under the name uncultured bacterium. Its description in RNAcentral is "bacterial SSU rRNA". It matches the Rfam family "Bacterial small subunit ribosomal RNA", at positions 338 to 795 of the family's 1533-position model. The record is from RNAcentral.